UGAGUACGAGCGGCUACGGCCGCGAAGUGGAUGAUGUCAAGCUUCCAAGAAAAGCCCUAUACCCGUUAAGGCAUGAUGGCCUGUACCCGAAACCGACACAGGUGGGGUGGUAGAGAAUACCGAGGGGCGCGAGGUAACUCUCUCUAAGGAACUCGGCAAAAUGGCCCCGUAACUUCGGGAGAAGGGGUGCCACCGCGAGGUGGUCGCAGUGAAGAGGCCCAGGCGACUGUUUACCAAAAACACAGGUCUCCGCUAAGUCGCAAGACGAUGUAUGGGGGCUGACGCCUGCCCAGUGCCGGAAGGUUAAGGAAGCUGGUCAGCGCAAGCGAAGCUGGCGACUGAAGCCCCGGUGAACGGCGGCCGUAACUAUAACGGUCCUAAGGUAGCGAAAUUCCUUGUCGGGUAAGUUCCGACCCGCACGAAAGGCGUAACGAUCUGGGCGCUGCCUCGGAGAGAGGCUCGGCGAAAUAGAAUUGUCUGUGAAGAUGCGGACUACGUGCACCCGGACAGAAAGACCCUAUGAAGCUUUACUGUAGCUUGGUAUUGUGCUCGGGCUCGGAAUGCGCAGGAUAGGUGGGAGGCUUUGAUCCAUUGCUUGCGGGUGAUGGUGAGCCACUGGUGAGAUACCACUCUUUCCGAGCUAGAGUUCUAACAGCAACCCGUUAUCCGGGUGCUGGACAGUAUCAGGUGGGCAGUUUGACUGGGGCGGUCGCCUCCUAAAAGGUAACGGAGGCGCGCAAAGGUCUGCUCAGGCUGGUUGGAAAUCAGCCGACGAGUGUAAAAGCAGUAGCAGGCUUGACUGUGAGACCUACAAGUCGAACAGGGAGGAAACUCGGCUUUAGUGAUCCGACGGUUCUGCGUGGAAGGGCCGUCGCUCAACGGAUAAAAGUUACUCUAGGAUAACAGGCUGAUCUCCCCCAAGAGUUCACAUCGACGGGGUGGUUUGGCACCUCGAUGUCGGCUCAUCGCAACCUGGGGCUGAAGUCGGUCCCAAGGGUUGGGCUGUUCGCCCAUUAAAGCGGUACGCGAGCUGGGUUCAGAACGUCGUGAGACAGUUCGGUCCAUAUCCGGUGCACGCGCAGGAAUAUUGAGAGGAUUUCUCCCUAGUACGAGAGGACCGGGAGGAACGCACCUCUGGUGUGCCAGUUAUCGUGCCAACGGUAAACGCUGGGUAGCCAUGUGCGGAGUGGAUAACCGCUGAAAGCAUCUAAGUGGGAAGCCCACCUCAAGAUGAGUAUUCCCAUGGCAUAAGCCAGUAAGGUCACGGGAAGAACACCCGUUGAUAGGCUCUACGUGGAAGCGCAGUAAUGUGUGAAGCGGAGGAGUACUAAUAGACCGAGGGC
This 1343-nucleotide ribosomal RNA is filed under the name metagenome. Its description in RNAcentral is "bacterial LSU rRNA". It matches the Rfam family "Bacterial large subunit ribosomal RNA", at positions 1564 to 2912 of the family's 2925-position model. The record is from RNAcentral.